RNAcentral lists this ribosomal RNA (501 nucleotides) under uncultured bacterium. RNAcentral's name for it is "partial 16S ribosomal RNA". It matches the Rfam family "Bacterial small subunit ribosomal RNA", at positions 29 to 523 of the family's 1533-position model. The record is from RNAcentral.
AUUGAACGCUGGCGGCAUGCCUUACACAUGCAAGUCGAACGGCAGCACGGGUGCUUGCACCUGGUGGCGAGUGGCGAACGGGUGAGUAAUACAUCGGAACGUACCUUAUCGUGGGGGAUAACGCAGCGAAAGCUGUGCUAAUACCGCAUACGCCCUGAGGGGGAAAGCGGGGGAUCGAAAGACCUCGCGCGAUUAGAGCGGCCGAUGCCUGAUUAGCUUGUUGGUGGGGUAAAAGCCCACCAAGGCGACGAUCAGUAGCUGGUCUGAGAGGACGAUCAGCCACACUGGGACUGAGACACGGCCCAGACUCCUACGGGAGGCAGCAGUGGGGAAUUUUGGACAAUGGGGGCAACCCUGAUCCUGCAAUGCCGCGUGAGUGAAGAAGGCCUUCGGGUUGUAAAGCUCUUUUGUCAGGGAAGAAACACGGGCUCUAACACAGUCCGGGAAUGACGGUACCUGAAGAAUAAGCACCGGCUAACUACGUGCCAGCCGCCGCGGUAA